Molecule: ribosomal RNA, 489 nt
Filed under: uncultured bacterium
Lineage: Bacteria
Description: partial 16S ribosomal RNA
Rfam family: Bacterial small subunit ribosomal RNA
Source: RNAcentral
UGGGGAAUAUUGCACAAUGGGCGAAAGCCUGAUGCAGCAACGCCGCGUGAGUGAUGAAGGUCUUCGGAUUGUAAAGCUCUGUCUUUUGGGACGAUAAUGACGGUACCAAAGGAGGAAGCCACGGCUAACUACGUGCCAGCAGCCGCGGUAAUACGUAGGUGGCGAGCGUUGUCCGGAUUUACUGGGCGUAAAGGGUGCGUAGGCGGAUGUUUAAGUGAGAUGUGAAAUACCCGGGCUUAACUUGGGUGCUGCAUUUCAAACUGGAUAUCUAGAGUGCAGAAGAGGAGAAUGGAAUUCCUAGUGUAGCGGUGAAAUGCGUAGAGAUUAGGAAGAACACCAGUGGCGAAGGCGAUUCUCUGGACUGUAACUGACGCUGAGGCACGAAAAGCGUGGGUAGCAAACAGGAUUAGAUACCCUGGUAGUCCACGCCGUAAAACGAUGAGUACUAGGUGUAGGAGGUAUCGACCCCUUCUGUGCCGCAGUAAAACA